This 259-nucleotide ribosomal RNA is filed under the name uncultured prokaryote. Its description in RNAcentral is "partial 16S ribosomal RNA". It matches the Rfam family "Bacterial small subunit ribosomal RNA", at positions 524 to 782 of the family's 1533-position model. The record is from RNAcentral.
UACGGAGGAUCUGAGCGUUAUCCGGAUUUAUUGGGUUUAAAGGGUGCGUAGGUGGAUUGGUAAGUCAGUGGUGAAAGUUUGCAGCUUAACUGUAAAAUUGCCGUUGAAACUGCCGGUCUUGAGUGCAAAUGAGGUAGGCGGAAUGCGUCGUGUAGCGGUGAAAUGCUUAGAUAUGACGCAGAACUCCGAUUGCGAAGGCAGCUUACUGGGAUGCAACUGACGCUGAGGCACGAAAGCGUGGGUAUCAAACAGGAUUAGA